CAUCUUUUGUCUCGUGUUAUUGUCUGAUGCAGCUAGCUAUCCAGCUUGAUUCGGCAAACAAGUAGCUGGCAAAAGCUACGUUACUUUUGAAAUUAUAGCAAAGUACUCAUAACCAAAGCGCAUAAAGAAUGAGAAGAGUUACGUUGUUUAUUAACGGGACAUCUAAAAAUGGCAAGGUUGUAGCAGUGUACGGGACCUUGUCCGACUUACUAUCCGUAGCAAGCAAUAAGUUAGGAAUCAAAGCCUCUAGUUUUUACAAUGGAAAGGGUGGUCUUAUAGAUGACAUUGCCCUUAUAAGAGAUGACGACGUGCUGUAUGUAUCGGAAGGAGAUCCAUUUAUCGAUCCUCAAAAUGAAGCCAAAGUCAGAUCUGAUCCGCAUGGGGCGCACACUGAUUGGCUGACCCUCAAUAUUGGUGGGCGUCUCUUCACCACCACCAGGAGCACUUUGGUCAGCAAGGAGCCAGAGAGUAUGCUUGCUCACAUGUUUCGAGAGAAAGAUGUGUGGGGGAACAAGCAGGACAAGCACGGGGCUUAUCUAAUCGACCGCAGCCCCGAAUACUUUGAGCCAAUUCUAAACUACUUGAGACAUGGUCAGCUCAUUAUCAAUGAAGGCAUAAAUAUACGAGGUGUCCUCGAGGAGGCUCGAUUCUUUGGGAUUGAGCAGCUUGCUGAACAACUGGAAGUAGCAAUCAAGAACUCGCAGCCACCAGAGGACCACUCUCCCAUUUCCCGCAAGGAGUUUGUUCGCUUUCUUCUGGCAACACCCACCAAGUCAGAGCUCCGCUGUCAGGGACUUAAUUUCAGUGGUGCUGAUCUGUCCCGACUUGACCUGCGCUACAUUAAUUUUAAAAUGGCCAAUCUGAGCCGCUGCAAUCUGACACACGCCAACCUGUGCUGUUCCAAUCUGGAGCGGGCUGAUCUUUCUGGAGCCAACCUUGAUGUAAGUCUGGGAACUCUUUUCUUGUCAGCACUAAAUGAUUCAUGUGCACAUACAGUAUCAGAUGAUACAAGGUAAGUGGAGAAUGCACUCAAAAAGUUUUCCACACUGUGGGGAAGCAAAUAUUUCCUUUUUCUAAGUUGUGUGUAUCAUUUUUGUGUUAUUUUUAGUUGUUAGCCUUCCUGCUGGUGAGCAAUGGACUUGGCUUUUGUUUUGCAGCCACUUCACACCUGCUGCUCCCUCACUUGUGUGGAGGAAGGGCUAUUCUUUUCUUAAACAUGUUUGCCAAUGCUACACACCUACUCUCAGUCACCCCAUUGAAAAAAUAACAGACUGUUUUUUCCUCAGUCUGCUGAUGUGAUAUGAAUAUCCUGUAAGAUGUGACUUAAUAUUUGCAUACGCAAUAAAGCAUGAUGGCUGUUGGAGGUUUGGUUUGUCUCUUGAAGGGUGCUAACUUACAAGGGGUGAAGAUGCUCUGUUCCAAUGCCGAGGGGGCUUCUCUCAAAGGAUGCAAUUUUGAAGAUCCAUCUGGACUGAAGGCCAACCUGGAAGGUGCUAACCUGAA
Xiphias gladius (swordfish) is the source of this 1503-nucleotide RNA transcript. It is a transcript of the gene named potassium channel tetramerization domain containing 9a, with no coding region annotated. The transcript is spliced from 10 exons. NCBI's taxonomy places the organism in Eukaryota, Metazoa, Chordata, Actinopteri, Istiophoriformes, Xiphiidae. The record is from RefSeq and is a predicted model, not a curated record.